AAGGAGGUACGGGUAUACUAUUGAGCAAGGGGAGAGGCAGAGGGGAGGGUGACUAAGUGAAUGCAGUUUGCCGUCGCGUGUCGCCGUAUCACAGCGAAGUCCACAGGCAGGCGGACGGAUCGGACCCGAAUCAACAAAUGGAGACAGAAAAACUGGAUGUAUACUGCAUGUGAGGAGAAACCAAGGGAGGAUAUAGAGUCUGCCUUCAUAUCCUUUUAUCUUUGCAUCUAAUACUACUGUGAGGAACCCACAGGGAGGGAAAGAAAAACAGCGGACAACUCAUUUUUCCUCUAACACAUCUGUGAAGAGAGGAGCUGUGAAUAGAGUGAACUGUGGGACUCACUGGGAUUUCUGAAUAUAAGCUCAUUGCCUGUGUGUGUGUGUGUGUGUGUGUGUGUGUGUGUGUGUGAGCUGAUAAUAGCAGCUCCAUUGGUAUUCAGCGGAGGGAGCUCCAGGAUCUCGCUGCGCCUUUCCCCAGGAUGGGAUCACAGAGCAGGGAUUGUGCUUGCCUGUGGAGAGCCCACUGAAAUGGAUCUGAAGCCUCGCAGAGAUGGGCACCAAAUGGACAGCAUGGAAGCCAACAUCCACCCUCCAGCGACCAGCUUUCCACGGCUAGCUGCCUCCACCAUCUCCUGCCAUCAGCUCGAACCAUCCGAGCGAGGGCUGAGUCUGCAGAGUUGAGCCUGGACCAGCCGUCUACCGAAAGCAGAGAUAAGCAGAGGGCGACAGGCCUCGGAGGAGUCAACGCGCAACAAGCCAGUCGGCGUGUUGAGCGCACAAUUGAGCUUCUUGGACUUCAUCUAAAAUGAAAUAGGCUGCAGUGAUGCUUGAGCAAUGGUACGGAGCUUUUGGAUAUGUCCGGAUUUAUCAGCCGGAUAUAUUUUUGAGAUUACGACACUUUGGUGCACACCUCAGAGCUCAGCCACUUUUUCCAGAUUGGCUUGUGGGCAAAAGCGAGUAAUUGAAAAUCCCCCCUCGAGAGGCGCUCUGUUUUGAUUUGUUGCGGGGGAGGAGGGCCUAUCGUUAUUGUUUUUUUUCUUCUUUUUUUUUUCGAGGAACAAUUUCCAAAAACACCCGGCUUUUAUCCCACAAAUUUCCCCCAGUUUCUCUCACAUUGCGGAGAAGUACAUUAUGAAGCAGUACCAUUCUUCUUCAUCCUCCCUCAGUGACGGAGAGAGAGGAGGGACAGACUGUCCAGAAUAGAUAACGAGCAAGGAGACUGGCACCGAGGAGAGGAGAAGGAGAACAAAAAAAAAGGAAGAAGGAGAAGCAGAAAACAGGGAAACAGGUGGAAAAAGAAAGAGAAGGAAGGCGACAGAGGGGGAAGAAAAAAAGCAGGGACGGCGAGAAAAUAAAGGACAGAGAAUUAAGUAGGAUUGCACAGAAUCUUUUUGGAGACUCUUUGUAAUUCGUGUUGAGGCUAGUUAGCGCAAUGGGUAGGGGAGGGGUUCAGGAUUUACACUGGGGAGGGGGGGGGACUUGAGCAGGAGACUAGGAUGAUGUCCCGCCUGCACCUGCCUGGUCUGUAUCUCAGUGUUUGGGAGGAAGACAGGCUGAAAGAUGGCCUGGUAAAUAGACAGCUGUAUUGAAUGACAGACAAGCUCUGAGGCUGGUGAGACAGACAGACAGGAAGACGGGUACACAGCCCAAGUGUCAGGCAGCGAGCCAGGCAGACAUCCAGUGCCGGCACAGUAGACGGCGUGCAAAUCAUUGUCAUUCUGUGCAGAGCGUGAGGGGAAGGCAGAGAGGAGGAAAGAAAGCAGAAGAGCAUCCCGGUGGUUGUAGCUUCUGGAGAAUCUCAGUCAGUGCUGUGGCAAGCUCAUGCACUAAAAAAACCCAAACAAGCAGU
Molecule: long non-coding RNA, 1849 nt
Organism: Oreochromis aureus
Lineage: Eukaryota; Metazoa; Chordata; Actinopteri; Cichliformes; Cichlidae
Exons: 3
Source: RefSeq, a predicted model, not a curated record